UACGUAGGGUGCAAGCGUUGUCCGGAAUUAUUGGGCGUAAAGAGCUCGUAGGCGGUUUGUCGCGUCGAAUGUGAAAACCCGGGGCUCAACCCCGGGCCUGCAUUCGAUACGGGCAGACUAGAGUUCGGUAGGGGAGUCUGGAAUUCCUGGUGUAGCGGUGAAAUGCGCAGAUAUCAAGGAGGAACACCGGUGGCGAAGGCGGGUCUCUGGGCAAACAACUGACGCUGAGGAGCGAAAGCGUGGGGAGCGAACAGGAUUAGA
This 261-nucleotide ribosomal RNA is filed under the name uncultured bacterium. Its description in RNAcentral is "partial 16S ribosomal RNA". It matches the Rfam family "Bacterial small subunit ribosomal RNA", at positions 524 to 782 of the family's 1533-position model. The record is from RNAcentral.